AGCUCAAAUUUAUAAUCUGGCACCUUCGGUGUCCGAGUUGUAAUCUCUAGAAGUGUUUUCCGCGUUGGACCGCACACAAGUCUGUUGGAAUACAGCGGCAUAGUGGUGAAACCCCCGUAUAUGGUGCGGACGCCCAGCGCUUUGUGAUACACUUUCAAUGAGUCGAGUUGUUUGGGAAUGCAGCUCAAAUUGGGUGGUAAAUUCCAUCUAAAGCUAAAUAUUGGCGAGAGACCGAUAGCGAACAAGUACCGUGAGGGAAAGAUGAAAAGCACUUUGGAAAGAGAGUUAACAGUACGUGAAAUUGUUGGAAGGGAAACGCUUGAAGUCAGACUUGCUUGCCGGAGCUUGCUUCGGUUUGCAGGCCAGCAUCAGUUUUCCGGGGUGGAUAAUGACGGUUUGAAGGUAGCAGUCUCGGCUGUGUUAUAGCUUUCCGUUGGAUACGCCCUGGGGGACUGAGGAACGCAGCGUGCUUUUUGCGAAAGACUCGUCUUUUUCACGCUUAGGAUGCUGGUGGAAUGGCUUUAAACGACCCGUCUUGAAACACGGACCAAGGAGUCUAACAUGCUCGCGAGUAUUUGGGUGUCAAACCCGGAUGCGCAAUGAAAGUGAAUGUAGGUGGGAACCGCAAGGUGCACCAUCGACCGAUCUGGAUUUUUUAAGAUGGAUUUGAGUAAGAGCGCGUAUGUUGGGACCCGAAAGAUGGUGAACUAUGCCUGAAUAGGGCGAAGCCAGAGGAAACUCUGGUGGAGGCUCGUAGCGGUUCUGACGUGCAAAUCGAUCGUCAAAUUUGGGUAUAGGGGCGAAAGACUAAUCGAACCAUCUAGUAGCUGGUUGCCUGACCGAAGUC
This 847-nucleotide ribosomal RNA is filed under the name Rhodotorula diobovata. RNAcentral describes it as "partial large subunit ribosomal RNA". It matches the Rfam family "Eukaryotic large subunit ribosomal RNA", at positions 106 to 968 of the family's 3401-position model. The record is from RNAcentral. Lineage: Eukaryota; Fungi; Basidiomycota; Microbotryomycetes; Sporidiobolales; Sporidiobolaceae.